This 468-nucleotide ribosomal RNA is filed under the name uncultured bacterium. RNAcentral's name for it is "partial 16S ribosomal RNA". It matches the Rfam family "Bacterial small subunit ribosomal RNA", at positions 28 to 507 of the family's 1533-position model. The record is from RNAcentral.
GACGAACGCUGGCGGCGUGCUUAACACAUGCAAGUCGAACGGAAAGGCCCUGCUUUUGUGGGGUGCUUGAGUGGCGAACGAGUGAGUAACCCGUGAGUAACCUGCCCUUGACUUUGGGAUAACUUCAGGAAACUGGGGCUAAUACCGGAUCGGAGCUCCUGCUUCAUGGUGGGGGUUGGUAAGUUUCGGCGGUUGGUGAUGGACUCGAGGCUUAUCAGCUUGUUGGUGGGGUAGUGGCUUACCAAGGCUUUGACGGGUAGCCGGCCUGAGAGGGUGACCGGCCACAUUGGGACUGAGAUACGGCCCAGACUCCUACGGGAGGCAGCAGUGGGGAAUAUUGCACAAUGGGCGGAAGCCUGAUGCAGCAACGCCGCGUGCGGGAUGACGGCCUUCGGGUUGUAAACCGCUUUCGCCUGUGACGAAGCGUGAGUGACGGUAAUGGGUAAAGAAGCACCGGCUAACUACGUG